RNAcentral lists this ribosomal RNA (403 nucleotides) under uncultured bacterium. RNAcentral's name for it is "bacterial SSU rRNA". It matches the Rfam family "Bacterial small subunit ribosomal RNA", at positions 354 to 774 of the family's 1533-position model. The record is from RNAcentral.
GUGGGGAAUAUUGCACAAUGGGCGAAAGCCUGAUGCAGCAACGCCGCGUGAGUGAUGAAGGCCUUCGGGUUGUAAAGCUCUGUCUUUUGGGACGAUAAUGACGGUACCAAAGGAGGAAGCCACGGCUAACUACGUGCCAGCAGCCGCGGUAAUACGUAGGUGGCAAGCGUUGUCCGGAAUUACUGGGCGUAAAGAAUGCGUAGGUGGAUAUGCAAGUCAGAUGUGAAAUACCCGGGCUCAACUUGGGUGCUGCAUUUGAAACUAUAUAUCUAGAGUGCAGGAGAGGAAAGCGGAAUUCCUAGUGUAGCGGUGAAAUGCGUAGAGAUUAGGAAGAACACCAGUGGCGAAGGCGGCUUUCUGGACUGUAACUGACACUGAGGCAUGAAAGCGUGGGGAGCAAACA